RNAcentral lists this ribosomal RNA (236 nucleotides) under uncultured bacterium. Its description in RNAcentral is "partial 16S ribosomal RNA". It matches the Rfam family "Bacterial small subunit ribosomal RNA", at positions 100 to 334 of the family's 1533-position model. The record is from RNAcentral.
CCGGCACGGGUGCGUAACGCGUAUGCAACCUACCUUUAACAGGGGGAUAACACUGAGAAAUUGGUACUAAUACCCCAUAAUAUCAUAGAAGGCAUCUUUUAUGGUUGAAAAUUCCGAUGGUUAGAGAUGGGCAUGCGUUGUAUUAGCUAGUUGGUGGGGUAACGGCUCACCAAGGCGACGAUCAGUAGCCGACCUGAGAGGGUGAUCGGCCACAUUGGGACUGAGACACGGCCCAA